GAAAUUUUAUAUAUUAUAUUAAAUAAAUAUUGUAUUAUUGCUUACUUGCUUUUUAUCAUUGGCUAUUAAUGAAUUAUAUAGCCAUAUGUAGAAGUUUUUGAUAGUUCAAAUAUUUCCUAAAAUUUUUAUAGUUUUAAAACUUAUUUAAAAUUCGUUGUUAUGGUCACAGGGCCAAGACAUGCCCUGGAAAAGCAACAUGUCUCAAACGUGGCAAGGACAAUCACAACAAUGAGAAAUACUCUUCAGGACAAAACUGUAUAAAAUAUGGUGGAGAUCAUCCCACAUUUUCUCAUUCCAAUCUUGAAAAAGAAAAAAAUACAGACCAGUCACCAAUGUAUUUCCUAUGCUGAGGCAUGGAAACAAAUCAUCCCUUUUCAUCUAAUAAAAACAUUUGUAAGUAUGAUGAAGACUUUUAACAUUACAUCUAUUGGUGUACAAACAAAUCUUCAAUCAACUUGCAAAGUCAUUUGCAACAGCUCAAGCCGUCAUCUUCAGGUUCACAUUCACAGGCCAACAGAAUAAAGAAUAAAAUUUUUUAGAACCAACGUUUUUUGUUGAACUGUACUGCUAAGCAGUGCUUGAGUAUUGACUUGUCUUAAACAGCAUUAGAAAGCAG
Molecule: long non-coding RNA, 616 nt
Filed under: Androctonus crassicauda
Lineage: Eukaryota; Metazoa; Arthropoda; Arachnida; Scorpiones; Buthidae
Source: RNAcentral